CAGCAGAGAAAAAAACGCACCAUUUAUUGUAAGUUUUUUUCUUCUCCAGCUAUUCAGGGGUUCUCUGUGAAGAAUCAGCUGGUUUUGUUUACCAUGAAAGACCUUUGCUUUAUUUUCAUUCUUGGAGGAGCUGGGGAGGAGGGAGGGAAGGACAGCCGUGUGCCUAGACAGCGGAGCUGGCCUACUGUAACAAAAUAGAGUGUAACAAAUCCUACAAAAGUUUAGAAUGUAUUGAUUCUUUGGAGAGCUAUAUAGAUUAACGACUUUCUUUAUGCUUAUCCAGGGAAGGUAUUUUAUCAUAAUGUAAAUGGGGCUUUUGAAAAAAAAUAAAGACUUAGCUUUACUUCUCCUUAUUUGGAGAACUUCAAAAGGACUUGUGAGGUGGCUGCAAAUUACGACCUUCUCCAGGCAAGCUUUCCUUCCUAACCAAAAAGCCACAAUAAAAUAUAGUUUGUGCUGUUUUUGUUUCGUUUUGCCAACUAUUUUUUUUUCUUUUAAAGGCAUAUUGAAAAAGUGAAUGGAAUGCUUAGGCGUCUGGACUCCACGAUGCAGGUGCAGGCCUGGCUGCUGUGACCAAGUAGGCUGGAGAGCCAAAUGUGCUGAUGGCGCUGUUGUGCCCAGGAGCUGGGCCUCCUCCCAGGGCCCUGUCACCUGGAAGGGAAGGGAGGGGUGGAGGUGGAGGCAGCACCUGUAUAGUCAUGUAUGUUUCCCUCCCUAGGGCAGUCACUCCUAGCACAGGCUUGAUGCAGCACACCCCACUGGACACAGGCCCCCGUGUUACGGCCACCGGAACAGCCUGUGAUACACUGCACGUUUGUGAUCAGCUCCAUCCUUUCCUCAGAGUGUCCCAAGUUCCUGUGACUCAGGCCACGGCCCCCCCCCAGCAAAUCUUGUAAUCUUGAAUCCAGAAUCCAAGGGGCUUGUGCACUCUUUGAUUGUUAUCCACGAGAAAGAGAACUGUAUUGAAGGGUUCAUCUCCUAGAGCAUCUAGCUUCACCUUUAUCAUUCACUUCGCUCUCCAAAUAAAAAGUAGGAAGGGGAUUUUCCAAAGAGAGGGGCACAACCCCAUUCCCACCGAGAGAAGUCGCACACUGUGGGGCCUGAGAGAUGGCACACGAGUGCGGAUGGUACUGAUUUGGCUUAGGCGGUGUGUGGGAAUUAGCAUGGCAGGAAAGAUGCAGGGCACCAGGGUCUCAGGUCUGUGGGAUGGCAGAUCCAUGUGGACUGCUAGGAAAGCCCUCUUCUCAAAUAGACCUUGGUGCUAAAUGCAGAAAAGGGCCUAAGUAUGGUCCAGUUCCUGAUGAUCCCACUCAGGGUGGCCCAAAGGUAGAGAUGAAGUCCUUUAUUGUGCUGAAGGAGAAAGAAAACUCAUCCUGUUCCCUUUUCCUGGAAGGUCUAUGUUCUAAGCAAUGUCCAAAGGAGUCAGUGGCUCGCCUUUCCCGGACAGGAGACAGAACAGACAGAACGCGGCUGGUGUGCUGCAACUUGGAAGGAGGAAGAGCCAAUUCCUGGCCUCUGGGGGGAGCCUCAUGAAGCAACUCACCAACAGCAUCUGACUUCGCCCUCAUGCCAGCCUGGCAGAUGGGCAGAUGUGGCCCACGGUCCCAUUUGUGGGUGAUACUUUCAAACGCUUCUUGCAUGAAUUGUUUUCUUCAUCAUGUCCAGAUCAAUGGGACCAUGUUCAAGUGUCCAGGUCAGAAAUGGGCUUCCUAUCUCCAUCACCUUGAUUUGCCAGCCAGUGUCAGGGUUUGGGUCUGGAUGUUCCCCCAAAGCCUCAUUUGGUCAGAGGUGGCUGAACCUGAAAUGUGUGACGCUGGAGUGAAGGGCCUGUGAUUUCUAAACCACUACACAUGAGUGAUUGGUUUGACACCACCCUAGCCCUGGUAGUCUGAAUGGGAUAAAAGGGGCAGAAAGACUCUGUUAAGGUCCCUUGUUGCUUUUGUUACCUUCUGGUCACCAUGAACUGCUUCCCUUGUUGCUUUUGCUACUUUGUGUGCACCAUGUUGUCCCUGUCUUGGGGCCAACCAACUAUGAACUGAACCUUCUAUAAACUGUAAGCCAAAUAAACCCCUUCCCCUUUAACUUUUGGUGCUAGGUAUUUCGUCUCAGCAACGAGAGAAAAGUAACGAACACAACCAGA
This 2140-nucleotide long non-coding RNA is filed under the name Heterocephalus glaber (naked mole-rat). RNAcentral's name for it is "lncRNA (ENSHGLG00100036937.1)". Lineage: Eukaryota; Metazoa; Chordata; Mammalia; Rodentia; Bathyergidae. The record is from RNAcentral.